This 253-nucleotide ribosomal RNA is filed under the name uncultured bacterium. Its description in RNAcentral is "partial 16S ribosomal RNA". It matches the Rfam family "Bacterial small subunit ribosomal RNA", at positions 524 to 776 of the family's 1533-position model. The record is from RNAcentral.
UACGUAGGGGACGAGCGUUGUCCGGAUUCACUGGGCGUAAAGGGUGCGUAGGUGGCGAGGUAAGUCGGAUGUGAAAGCUCGGAGCUCAACUCCGAAAUGGCAUUGGAAACUACCUUGCUCGAGGGUUGGAGGGGGGACUGGAAUACUUGGUGUAGCAGUGAAAUGCGUAGAUAUCAAGUGGAACACCAGUGGCGAAGGCGAGUCCCUGGACAACUCCUGACACUGAGGCACGAAAGCUAGGGGAGCAAACAGG